RNAcentral lists this ribosomal RNA (815 nucleotides) under uncultured marine bacterium. Its description in RNAcentral is "bacterial SSU rRNA". It matches the Rfam family "Bacterial small subunit ribosomal RNA", at positions 42 to 857 of the family's 1533-position model. The record is from RNAcentral.
GCGGCCUAUACAUGCAAGUCGAGGGGUAACAGGAAGUGCUUGCACUUCGCUGACGACCGGCGCACGGGUGAGUACCGCGUAUACAAUCUGCCUCAUACUAGGGAAUAGCCCGAAGAAAUUUGGAUUAAUGCCCUAUAGUAUCUUUUUAAGGCAUCUUAUUAAGAUUAAAGGUUACGGUAUGAGAUGAGUAUGCGUUCUAUUAGCUAGUAGGUGUGGUAACGGCACACCUAGGCUACGAUAGAUAGGGGCCCUGAGAGGGGGAUCCCCCACACUGGUACUGAGACACGGACCAGACUCCUACGGGAGGCAGCAGUAAGGAAUAUUGGACAAUGGGCGAAAGCCUGAUCCAGCCAUGCCGCGUGCAGGAUGACGGCCCUAUGGGUUGUAAACUGCUUUUAUAUAGGAAGAAAAACUUUCUCGUGAGAAAGCUUGACGGUACUAUAAGAAUAAGGAUCGGCUAACUCCGUGCCAGCAGCCGCGGUAAUACGGAGGAUCCAAGCGUUAUCCGGAAUCAUUGGGUUUAAAGGGUCCGUAGGUGGACAAAUAAGUCAGAGGUGAAAUCCUGCAGCUCAACUGUAGAACUGCCUUUGAUACUGUUUGUCUUGAGUUAUUAUGAAGUGGUUAGAAUGUGUAGUGUAGCGGCGAAAUGCAUAGAUAUUACACAGAAUACCGAUUGCGAAGGCAGAUCACUAAUAAUUAACUGACACUGAGGGACGAAAGCGUGGGUAGCGAACAGGAUUAGAUACUCUGGUAGUCCACGCCGUAAACGAUGGUCACUAGCUGUUUGGACUUCCGUCUGAGUGGCUAAGCGAAAG